AUUGAACGCUGGCGGCAGGCCUAACACAUGCAAGUCGAACGGUAACAGGAAGAAGCUUGCUUCUUUGCUGACGAGUGGCGGACGGGUGAGUAAUGUCUGGGAAACUGCCUGAUGGAGGGGGAUAACUACUGGAAACGGUAGCUAAUACCGCAUAACGUCGCAAGACCAAAGAGGGGGACCUUCGGGCCUCUUGCCAUCGGAUGUGCCCAGAUGGGAUUAGCUAGUAGGUGGGGUAACGGCUCACCUAGGCGACGACCCCUAGCUGGUCUGAGAGGAUGACCAGCCACACUGGAACUGAGACACGGUCCAGACUCCUACGGGAGGCAGCAGUGGGGAAUAUUGCACAAUGGGCGCAAGCCUGAUGCAGCCAUGCCGCGUGUAUGAAGAAGGCCUUCGGGUUGUAAAGUACUUUCAGCGGGGAGGAAGGGAGUAAGGUUAAUACCUUGGCUCAUUGACGUUACCCGCAGAAGAAGCACCGGCUAACUCCGUG
RNAcentral lists this ribosomal RNA (490 nucleotides) under uncultured bacterium. RNAcentral describes it as "partial 16S ribosomal RNA". It matches the Rfam family "Bacterial small subunit ribosomal RNA", at positions 30 to 507 of the family's 1533-position model. The record is from RNAcentral.